GAUGAGCGCUGGCGGUAUGCUUAACACAUGCAAGUCGAACGGACUCUUCGGAGUUAGUGGCGGACGGGUGAGUAACGCGUGAGAAUCUGGCUUUGGGUUCGGGACAACCACUGGAAACGGUGGCUAAUACCGGAUGUGCCGAGAGGUAAAAGAGAAAUUGCCUGAAGAUGAGCUCGCGUCUGAUUAGCUAGUUGGUGAGGUAAAGGCUCACCAAGGCAGCGAUCAGUAGCUGGUCUGAGAGGAUGACCAGCCACACUGGGACUGAGACACGGCCCAGACUCCUACGGGAGGCAGCAGUGGGGAAUUUUCCGCAAUGGGCGAAAGCCUGACGGAGCAAUACCGCGUGAGGGAAGAAGGCUCUUGGGUUGUAAACCUCUUUUCUUAGGGAAGAACAAAAUGACGGUACCUAAGGAAUCAGCAUCGGCUAACUCCGUG
This 435-nucleotide ribosomal RNA is filed under the name uncultured bacterium. RNAcentral describes it as "partial 16S ribosomal RNA". It matches the Rfam family "Bacterial small subunit ribosomal RNA", at positions 28 to 507 of the family's 1533-position model. The record is from RNAcentral.